CCCGGCGACCGGCGCACGGGUGAGUAACACGUAUGCAACCUGGCCGUGACAGAUGGAUAACCGGGAGAAAUCCCGCCUAAUACAGCAUGACGCCGCGGGAGGACAUCCUCCCGCGGCCAAAGGGGCGACCCGGUCACGGAUGGGCAUGCGGCGCAUUAGGUAGUUGGUGGGGCAACGGCCCACCAAGCCGGCGAUGCGUAGGGGUUCUGAGAGGAAGGUCCCCCACAUUGGAACUGAGACACGGUCCGAACUCCUACGGGAGGCAGCAG
Molecule: ribosomal RNA, 269 nt
Filed under: uncultured bacterium
Lineage: Bacteria
Description: partial 16S ribosomal RNA
Rfam family: Bacterial small subunit ribosomal RNA
Source: RNAcentral